RNAcentral lists this long non-coding RNA (290 nucleotides) under Panax ginseng (ginseng). Its description in RNAcentral is "long non-coding RNA (PGIN_LNC006026)". Lineage: Eukaryota; Viridiplantae; Streptophyta; Magnoliopsida; Apiales; Araliaceae. The record is from RNAcentral.
AUUUUUGCACCACAGUCCGAAUUCUCCCAAUUCAAUGAACAGCUUGGGAAACAAACUGAGGAUGUUGUACAAGAGAGCUACAUACCCACCACACAAGCAUGGCAGGAGAGCUCCAUUCCCACCUCCCAAGCCUACGAGGAGUGUUACAUUCCGACCUCCCAAGCCUACGAGGAGUGUUACAUUCCGACCUCCCAAGCCUAUGAGGAGUGUUACGUCCCGACCUCCCAAGCCUAUGAGGAGUUUUACAUUCCAACCACCUUAGAUUUUGCGGGACUUUCUAACGUCACAGG